RNAcentral lists this ribosomal RNA (253 nucleotides) under uncultured bacterium. Its description in RNAcentral is "partial 16S ribosomal RNA". It matches the Rfam family "Bacterial small subunit ribosomal RNA", at positions 524 to 776 of the family's 1533-position model. The record is from RNAcentral.
UACGUAGGGGGCAAGCGUUGUCCGGAUUUAUUGGGCGUAAAGGGCUCGUAGGCGGCCAACUAAGUCAGACGUGAAAUCCCUCGGCUUAACCGGGGAACUGCAUCUGAUACUGGAGAGCUCGAGUCCGGGAGAGGUGAGUGGAACUGCGAGUGUAGAGGUGAAAUUCGUAGAUAUUCGCAAGAACACCAGUGGCGAAGGCGGCUCACUGGCCCGGUACUGACGCUGAGGUGCGAAAGCGUGGGGAGCAAACAGG